Molecule: ribosomal RNA, 826 nt
Filed under: uncultured Alphaproteobacteria bacterium
Lineage: Bacteria; Pseudomonadati; Pseudomonadota; Alphaproteobacteria
Description: bacterial SSU rRNA
Rfam family: Bacterial small subunit ribosomal RNA
Source: RNAcentral
AGUCGAGCGCUCACUUCGGUGAGAGCGGCAGACGGGUGAGUAACGCGUGGGAAUCUACCCAUCUCUACGGAACAACAGUUGGAAACGACUGCUAAUACCGUAUACGCCCUUCGGGGGAAAGAUUUAUCGGAGAUGGAUGAGCCCGCGUUGGAUUAGCUAGUUGGUGGGGUAAAGGCCUACCAAGGCGACGAUCCAUAGCUGGUCUGAGAGGAUGAUCAGCCACACUGGGACUGAGACACGGCCCAGACUCCUACGGGAGGCAGCAGUGGGGAAUAUUGGACAAUGGGCGCAAGCCUGAUCCAGCCAUGCCGCGUGUGUGAUGAAGGCCCUAGGGUUGUAAAGCACUUUCAACGGUGAAGAUAAUGACGGUAACCGUAGAAGAAGCCCCGGCUAACUUCGUGCCAGCAGCCGCGGUAAUACGAAGGGGGCUAGCGUUGUUCGGAAUUACUGGGCGUAAAGCGCACGUAGGCGGAUCGUUAAGUGAGGGGUGAAAUCCCAGGGCUCAACCCUGGAACUGCCUUUCAUACUGGCGAUCUUGAGUUCGAGAGAGGUGAGUGGAAUUCCGAGUGUAGAGGUGAAAUUCGUAGAUAUUCGGAGGAACACCAGUGGCGAAAGCGGCUCACUGGCUCGAUACUGACGCUGAAGUGCGAAAGCGUGGGGAGCAAACAGGAUUAAAUACCCUGGUAGUCCACGCCGUAAACGAUGUCUACUAGCCGUUGGGUUGUAAUGACUUAUUGGCGAAACUAACGCGAUUAGUAAAACGCCUGGGGAGUACCGCCCCCAGGUUAAACUCCAAUGAAUUGACCGGGGCCCGCACAAACGGUGG